Molecule: ribosomal RNA, 493 nt
Filed under: Escherichia coli
Lineage: Bacteria; Pseudomonadati; Pseudomonadota; Gammaproteobacteria; Enterobacterales; Enterobacteriaceae
Also listed under: 3 other names
Description: partial 23S ribosomal RNA
Rfam family: Bacterial large subunit ribosomal RNA
Source: RNAcentral
UGGUGGGUAGUUUGACUGGGGCGGUCUCCUCCUAAAGAGUAACGGAGGAGCACGAAGGUUGGCUAAUCCUGGUCGGACAUCAGGAGGUUAGUGCAAUGGCAUAAGCCAGCUUGACUGCGAGCGUGACGGCGCGAGCAGGUGCGAAAGCAGGUCAUAGUGAUCCGGUGGUUCUGAAUGGAAGGGCCAUCGCUCAACGGAUAAAAGGUACUCCGGGGAUAACAGGCUGAUACCGCCCAAGAGUUCAUAUCGACGGCGGUGUUUGGCACCUCGAUGUCGGCUCAUCACAUCCUGGGGCUGAAGUAGGUCCCAAGGGUAUGGCUGUUCGCCAUUUAAAGUGGUACGCGAGCUGGGUUUAGAACGUCGUGAGACAGUUCGGUCCCUAUCUGCCGUGGGCGCUGGAGAACUGAGGGGGGCUGCUCCUAGUACGAGAGGACCGGAGUGGACGCAUCACUGGUGUUCGGGUUGUCAUGCCAAUGGCACUGCCCGGUAGCUA